RNAcentral lists this ribosomal RNA (886 nucleotides) under uncultured bacterium. RNAcentral describes it as "bacterial SSU rRNA". It matches the Rfam family "Bacterial small subunit ribosomal RNA", at positions 8 to 901 of the family's 1533-position model. The record is from RNAcentral.
AGAGUUUGAUCAUGGCUCAGGAUGAACGCUAGCGGCAGGCUUAACACAUGCAAGUCGAGGGGUAUAGUUCUUCGGAACUAGAGUCCGGCGCACGGGUGCGUAACGCGUAUGCAAUCUACCUUUUACAGAGGGAUAGCCCAGAGAAAUUUGGAUUAAUACCUCAUAGUAUGCAGAGUUGGCAUCAACACUGUAUUAAAGUCACAACGGUAAAAGAUGAGCAUGCGUCCCAUUAGCUAGUUGGUAAGGUAACGGCUUACCAAGGCGACGAUGGGUAGGGGUCCUGAGAGGGAGAUCCCCCACACUGGUACUGAGACACGGACCAGACUCCUACGGGAGGCAGCAGUGAGGAAUAUUGGUCAAUGGACGCAAGUCUGAACCAGCCAUGCCGCGUGCAGGAUGACGGUCCUAUGGAUUGUAAACUGCUUUUGUACGAGAAGAAACCCUCCAACGUGUUGGAGCUUGACGGUAUCGUAAGAAUAAGGAUCGGCUAACUCCGUGCCAGCAGCCGCGGUAAUACGGAGGAUCCAAGCGUUAUCCGGAAUCAUUGGGUUUAAAGGGUCCGUAGGCGGUUUAGUAAGUCAGUGGUGAAAGCCCAUCGCUCAACGGUGGAACGGCCAUUGAUACUGCUAAACUUGAAUUAUUAGGAAGUAACUAGAAUAUGUAGUGUAGCGGUGAAAUGCUUAGAGAUUACAUGGAAUACCAAUUGCGAAGGCAGGUUACUACUAAUGGAUUGACGCUGAUGGACGAAAGCGUGGGUAGCGAACAGGAUUAGAUACCCUGGUAGUCCACGCCGUAAACGAUGGAUACUAGCUGUUGGAAGCAAUUUCACUGGCUAAGCGAAAGUGAUAAGUAUCCCACCUGGGGAGUACGUUCGCAAGAAUGAACU